UUUUAAUCAAUGUAAUAUGGACGUAAGAAAGAGAAAAGAAAAAAGAGGGAAAACAUAGGAGUCAAUUAAUAAGGGGCGAAAUAUAAGCAGCUUAUUACCGUAGGCAACUUUUAAUGUUGCAUUUAUUAUCACAAUCAGCAAUAUCGGGUUGAACAUUGCAACAGAAGCAACGGCCCAAUUGUCUAAGCCUGGCCAUACCAUAAUCGGUUGCUUAACGAGAUGAAUUGACUGCUCUUGAUAAGAUCGACAUUAAUUCUUUCAAAAUGGAAAAA
Schizosaccharomyces pombe (fission yeast) is the source of this 272-nucleotide non-coding RNA. The record is from the annotation of a GenBank genome assembly. Lineage: Eukaryota; Fungi; Ascomycota; Schizosaccharomycetes; Schizosaccharomycetales; Schizosaccharomycetaceae.